This 503-nucleotide ribosomal RNA is filed under the name uncultured bacterium. RNAcentral describes it as "partial 16S ribosomal RNA". It matches the Rfam family "Bacterial small subunit ribosomal RNA", at positions 28 to 523 of the family's 1533-position model. The record is from RNAcentral.
GAUGAACGCUAGCGGCAGGCCUAACACAUGCAAGUCGAGGGGUAGCAGGAUUAAGCUUGCUUAAUUGCUGACGACCGGCGCACGGGUGCGUAACGCGUAUGCAACCUACCUUAUACUGGGGUAUAGCCCGGAGAAAUUCGGAUUAAUCCCCCAUAGUACUAAUGAAUCGCAUGGUUUAUGAGUUAAAGCAUUGCGGUAUAAGAUGGGCAUGCGUGCUAUGAGCUAGAUGGUGGGGUAACGGCUCACCAUGGCUAGGAUAGGUAGGGGGCCUGAGAGGGUGGUCCCCCACACUGGUACUGAGACACGGACCAGACUCCUACGGGAGGCAGCAGUGAGGAAUAUUGGUCAAUGGGCGCAAGCCUGAACCAGCCAUGCCGCGUGCAGGAAGAAUGCCCUAUGGGUUGUAAACUGCUUUUAUUUGGGAAUAAACCUCUUUACGUGUAGAGAGCUGAAGGUACCAAAUGAAUAAGCACCGGCUAACUCCGUGCCAGCAGCCGCGGUAA